Molecule: transfer RNA, 87 nt
Filed under: Melioribacter roseus P3M-2
Lineage: Bacteria; Pseudomonadati; Ignavibacteriota; Ignavibacteria; Ignavibacteriales; Melioribacteraceae
Also listed under: 1 other name
Description: tRNA-Ser (TGA) (tRNA-Ser-TGA-1-1)
Rfam family: tRNA
About the family: Transfer RNA (tRNA) molecules are approximately 80 nucleotides in length. Their secondary structure includes four short double-helical elements and three loops (D, anti-codon, and T loops).
Source: Rfam by way of RNAcentral
GGAGAGGUGGCAGAGCGGUUGAAUGCGGCGGUCUUGAAAACCGUUUGGCGCUUGCGCGCCACGGGGGUUCGAAUCCCUCCCUCUCCG